AGAAUGAACGCUGGCGGCGUGCCUAACACAUGCAAGUCGUGCGCGAAAGGGACUUCGGUCCCCGGUAGAGCGGCGAACGGGUGAGUAACACGUGGGUAACCUGUCUGAGAGUGGGGGAUAACCUGGGGAAACUCGGGCUAAUACCGCAUACGUCCGCUGGGCUUCGGCUCGGCGAGGAAAGGUGGCCUCUGCUUGCAAGCCACCACUCCCAGAGGGGCCCGCGCCUGAUUAGCUAGUUGGCGGGUAACGGCCCACCAAGGCGACGAUCAGUAGCCGGCCUGAGAGGGCGAACGGCCAACGACGUGGAACUAGAGACACGGUCCAGACUCCUACGGGAGGCAGCAGUCGAGGAAUCUGCGCGAAUGGGGGAAACCCUGACGACAGCAACGCCGCGUGGAGGAUGAAGGCGUUUCGGGUCGUAAACCUCCGUGUCAGAGUGGAACGAAGCGUUGCGGCGAAUAGUACCGUAAGCUUGACGGUACCAUCGAGGAAGACG
RNAcentral lists this ribosomal RNA (496 nucleotides) under uncultured soil bacterium. Its description in RNAcentral is "bacterial SSU rRNA". It matches the Rfam family "Bacterial small subunit ribosomal RNA", at positions 26 to 493 of the family's 1533-position model. The record is from RNAcentral.